ACGAACAACAACAGCUCCAAGACCAACUGAAGACGGACUGACAGCAGAGACCACACCAGCGUCUGAAAACACACCUUCAGAUGGAAAAGAUUGUAGAUGUUGUUCUGGUCUGGACUUCAUCAUGUUGUCUCUGCGUGUGGCUGAACUGGUCCUCAUCACUCUGCUCACUGUUCUUCUCUUCAGAGCUCGAGGGAACCAGAGACCUCCUGAUGAUAUCACUGUGCGUUAUGAUGGAGAUGACGACACAGUGAACUAUGAGAACGCUGGAGAGCCUUCUGCUUCAGUCAGACUCCACUGAUCAACAUCUUCCACGCCUUCAAUUUACCAGACCAAUGAGUCCACUGCUCUUAAACUUUGUUACAGCUUUUUACUGCACAUACAAACACAAACCCUGAUUUCAGUUUAAGGUGUUUAGUAAAGACUUGAUUAAUGUAAAUUGAACAAAUCAACUGCUUUUGUUUUAGCUGAAUGUUAAAGUUUAGUUUUUAUAUAAAUGAUAUAAUGAUAUUUGUUUUUAACUUUGUCAGGAAAAUCUGAAGUUUCUGCUUCCAGCUCAGGAAACAACUGAUAACUCUUUUCUUUGGACACAAUCAUUUGUAGAGUAUUUUCAUUCAUGAUGAGUUCAGAAUAACUUCAUUUAAUCACUGUUUAUAGUUACUCUUUAAGUCAGAUUUUAUUUUGCAUUGUUGCUGAGUUUAACUAGUGUCAGAGGGGAAAGAGUGUGUUUUACUGAAAUGCUUCUCAAUCUUCAGAGAGUCAGUGUUUGUCUUCUCUUCAUCAUAUCUGAUCACAGUGUCAUCUGCAAAUAAAGAAAUGUUCACCUCUUAA
This is a long non-coding RNA of Notolabrus celidotus (New Zealand spotty), 828 nucleotides long. RefSeq lists it as uncharacterized. The transcript is spliced from 4 exons. The record is from RefSeq and is a predicted model, not a curated record. Lineage: Eukaryota; Metazoa; Chordata; Actinopteri; Labriformes; Labridae.